RNAcentral lists this ribosomal RNA (660 nucleotides) under Liolaemus thomasi (Liolaemus thomasi Laurent 1998). RNAcentral describes it as "partial 12S ribosomal RNA". It matches the Rfam family "Bacterial small subunit ribosomal RNA", at positions 312 to 1249 of the family's 1533-position model. The record is from RNAcentral. Lineage: Eukaryota; Metazoa; Chordata; Lepidosauria; Squamata.
CCUUAUUAAGCACCAAGGAGCAGGUAUCAGGCACAACUCUUUAGCCCAAAACACCUUGCUAUGCCACACCCACACGGGCACCCAGCAGUGAUAAAUAUUAAGCAAUAAGUGAAAGCCAACUAAAGCUUGACUUAGUUAUGAUCAUUAGGGCCGGUAAAUCUCGUGCCAGCCACCGCGGUUAUACGAGAGGCCCAAAACAACAGAUACCGGCGUAAAUUGUGGCUAGAGCACCUCUUACAACACUGAAAAAUGAACGAAAGCCUAAUCGUAAAACCUAGGCCAAAAGAAAUACAUAUUUUCAGCCACAAAGCAACUUGAACCCACGAAAACUAAGAAACAAACUAGGAUUAGAUACCCUACUAUGCUUAGUUGUUAAUAUGACACUAAAAAACACCACUGUCCGCCAGAGAAUUACACGCGAAAAGCUCAAAACUCAAAGGACUUGGCGGUACUCCGUACUCGUCUUAGAGGAGCCUGUCCUAUAAUCGAUAACCCACGUUUUACCUUACCAUCUUUUGUUAAACAGCCUAUAUACCGCCGUCGCAAACUUACCCCGUGAGGGCACCAUAGUAAGUAAGAUAGUAAAACACUAACACGUCAGGUCAAGGUGUAGCUAAUAAGAUGGAAGAGAUGGGCUACAUUUUCUAAAACAGAACACAC